Molecule: small nuclear RNA, 107 nt
Organism: Pteronotus mesoamericanus
Lineage: Eukaryota; Metazoa; Chordata; Mammalia; Chiroptera; Mormoopidae
Source: RefSeq, a predicted model, not a curated record
GUGCUGGCUUUGGCAGCACAUAUACUAAAAUUAGACUGAUACAGAGAAAAUUAGCACGGCCCCUGAGCAAGGACGACUCACAAAUUCUUGAUGCAUUCCAUAUAUUU